Molecule: long non-coding RNA, 645 nt
Filed under: Vigna radiata
Lineage: Eukaryota; Viridiplantae; Streptophyta; Magnoliopsida; Fabales; Fabaceae
Description: long non-coding RNA (VRAD_LNC016612)
Source: RNAcentral
ACAAGGAGGAAGAAGGGGCGUAGUGCCAUCGAUUCUAGUCAACACUCGCGGCUAGCUUGACGGUGGCAGCGACAUGUUGGUGGUGACAAGAGCCCGACGCCGCCGGUGUCGACCCUAGCUUGGCGGAGCGUGAGUGAUUGGAAAUCUCGAGAAAUCACGACAGUAAAGGACGUUGGUGUGGGAUUGCUCUGUUCGAAGCGAAGCGGGGCAUAGAACGAGACCCCGAUAGUGACUGGCGUCGUUGGCGGCGGUCUUGGUAACAAAUGGCAUCAUGACCUAAGGCGGGGAGGUUCUUCUUGCGUGAAGACAGGAAGUCUGAUGCUCUAGUAGAGAGCUAGGUAGUGGCGGCGGCACGAUGGGGACGAAGGGAGCUCGACGGGGAUGAGGGCCUCGACCUGUUGGCUCUGGCAACAAGUAUCGUUGUUGACGACGACGUGGACGGUACGGUGGUGGCCGGUUGAGUGAAGGUGUCUCUAGUUUCUUUCGUUUAGAGGAGAAGAUGACCUUUUCAUUUUCUCGCAUAAAAAUACCAGGAAUAUAAAAAAUUCACAUUUUCAGACAACAAACAAUUUUCAUCUAGAACUACGUAACCCUGAUUUCUCAUUUUGAGAAUACGUAGGAGCAAGGUCAAUUCUUAUCGGGCCC